Molecule: ribosomal RNA, 2899 nt
Filed under: Clostridioides difficile
Lineage: Bacteria; Bacillati; Bacillota; Clostridia; Peptostreptococcales; Peptostreptococcaceae
Description: bacterial LSU rRNA
Rfam family: Bacterial large subunit ribosomal RNA
Source: RNAcentral
UGGUCAAGUUAUUAAGGGUGCAGGGCGGAUGCCUUGGCACUAGGAGCCGAUGAAGGACGUGAUAAGCUGCGAUAAGCUUCGGGGAGUUGCACGUAAACUUUGAUCCGAAGAUUUCCGAAUGAGGAAACUCACUUAGAGUAAUGUCUAAGUAUCAUUAAGUGAAUACAUAGCUUAAUGAGGGGAACUCAGGGAACUGAAACAUCUAAGUACCUGAAGGAAGAGAAAGAAAUUCGAUUCCGUAAGUAGCGGCGAGCGAACGCGGAUUAGCCCAAACCAAUAAAGUUUUCUUUAUUGGGGUUGCGGACAUAUCAUAACGAAGAGGUAUCGUAAUUGAAGAGGUUUGGAAAGACCCACCACAGAAGGUAAUAGUCCUGUAUGUUAAACGAGAAGACUUCAGAUAUGAUCCAGAGUACCACGGGACACGUGAAACCCUGUGGGAAGCAGGAGGGACCACCCUCCAAGGCUAAAUACUACCUAGUGACCGAUAGCGUAUAGUACCGUGAGGGAAAGGUGAAAAGAACCCCGGGAGGGGAGUGAAAUAGAACCUGAAACCCUGCACUUACAAGCUGUGGAAGCACAUUUCUUGUGUGACCGCGUACUUUUUGUAGAACGGGCCAACGAGUUACGUUAAGUAGCAAGGUUAAGCACUUAAGGUGCGGAGCCGUAGCGAAAGCGAGUUUUAACUGAGCGUUCAGUUACUUGACGUAGACCCGAAACCGGGCGACCUACCCAUGAGCAGGAUGAAGCGAAAGUAAAAUUUCGUGGAGGUCCGAACCCACGAGCGUUGAAAAGCUCGGGGAUGACUUGUGGGUAGCGGUGAAAUUCCAAUCGAGCCCGGAGAUAGCUGGUUCUCCCCGAAAUAGCUUUAGGGCUAGCCUCAAGGUGAGAGAUACGGAGGUAGAGCACUGAAUGUCCUAGGGGGUAUUGCACCUACCGAAGACUAUUAAACUCCGAAUGCCGUCAUCUUAUACUUGGGAGUCAGACUGUGGGUGAUAAGAUUCAUAGUCGAAAGGGCAACAGCCCAGAUCGUCAGCUAAGGUCCCUAAAUGUAAGUUAAGUGGUAAAGGAUGUGGGAUUGCACAGACAACCAGGAUGUUGGCUUAGAAGCAGCCACUCAUUCAAAGAGUGCGUAAUAGCUCACUGGUCGAGUGAUCCUGCGCCGAAGAUUUCCGGGGCUAAAACUUACUACCGAAGCUACGGCAUCAGUAAUGAUGGGUAGGGGAGCUUCCCAUACGGGUUGAAGCAUGACCGUAAGGACAUGUGGACAGUAUGGGAGUGAGAAUGUUGGCAUGAGUAGCGAGAUGUGGGUGAGAAUCCCACAGGCCGUAAACCCAAGGUUUCCAGGGGAAGGUUCGUCCGCCCUGGGUUAGUCGGGACCUAAGCUGAGGCCGAAAGGCGUAGGUGAUGGACAACAGGUUGAUAUUCCUGUACUACCGAUAACCGUUUGAGAGAAGGGAUGACACAGUAGGAUAAGCUAAGCACACUGUUGGUUAUGUGUGCCCAAGCAUUGAGGCAGUCAAAGUAGGCAAAUCCGCUUUGAUAAUGCUGGGAUGUGAUGGGGAGCGAAAUUUAGUAGCGAAGUAGCUGAUUUCACACUGUCAAGAAAAGUCUCUAUCGAGGUUAAAGGUACCCGUACCGCAAACCGACACAGGUGGGUGAGGAGAGUAUCCUAAGGCCAGCGAGAGAACUGUUGUUAAGGAACUCGGCAAAAUGACCCCGUAACUUAGGGAUAAGGGGUGCCACCAUCAGGUGGCCGCAGAGAAUAGGCCCAAGCGACUGUUUACCAAAAACAUAGGUUUCUGCUAAGUCGCAAGACGAUGUAUAGGAGCUGACGCCUGCCCGGUGCUGGAAGGUUAAGGGGAUCUGUUAGAGCAAUCGAAGCAGUGAACUUAAGCCCCAGUAAACGGCGGCCGUAACUAUAACGGUCCUAAGGUAGCGAAAUUCCUUGUCGGGUAAGUUCCGACCCGCACGAAAGGCGUAACGAUUUGGGCACUGUCUCAACAACAGACUCGGUGAAAUUGUAAUUCCGGUGAAGAUGCCGGAUACCUGCGACAGGACGGAAAGACCCCAUGGAGCUUUACUGUAGCUUGACAUUGGGUUUUGGUACUACAUGUACAGGAUAGGUGGGAGGCUUUGAAACCAGGACGCCAGUUUUGGCGGAGCCAUCCUUGGGAUACCACCCUUGUAGUACUGGGACUCUAACCAUAGGCCAUGAAUCUGGUCUUGGGACACUGUCAGGCGGGCAGUUUGACUGGGGCGGUCGCCUCCCAAAAGGUAACGGAGGCGCUCAAAGGUUCUCUCAGUACGGUCGGAAAUCGUACGUAGAGUGUAAAGGCAAAAGAGAGCUUGAUUGCAAGACAUACAGGUCGAGCAAGGAUGAAAAUCGGACUUAGUGAUCCGGUGGUUCUGCGUGGAAGGGCCAUCGCUCAACGGAUAAAAGCUACCCUGGGGAUAACAGGCUUAUCUCCCCAAGAGUCCACAUCGACGGGGAGGUUUGGCACCUCGAUGUCGGCUCAUCACAUCCUGGGGCUGUAGUAGGUCCCAAGGGUUGGGCUGUUCGCCCAUUAAAGUGGUACGCGAGCUGGGUUCAGAACGUCGUGAGACAGUUCGGUCCCUAUCCGUCGCAGGCGUAGGAAAUUUGAGAAGACCUGUCCUUAGUACGAGAGGACCGGGAUGGACGUACCUCUGGUGUACCAGUUGUCCUGCCAAGGGCAUGGCUGGGUAGCUAUGUACGGAAUGGAUAAGCGCUGAAAGCAUCUAAGCGCGAAGCCAACUUCAAGAUAAGAUUUCCCACCGCAAGGGUAAGACCCCAGAAAGACUAUCUGGUUGAUAGGUCGAAGGUGUAAGUGCAGCAAUGUAUUUAGCUUAUCGAUACUAAUAGGUCGAGGACUUGACCAAU